Molecule: non-coding RNA, 70 nt
Organism: Dipodomys ordii (Ord's kangaroo rat)
Lineage: Eukaryota; Metazoa; Chordata; Mammalia; Rodentia; Heteromyidae
Source: Rfam
GGGAAUGUGGCUUAGUGGUAGAGUGCUUGCCUAGCAUGCAUGAAACUCUGAGUUCAAUUCCUCAGUACCA